RNAcentral lists this ribosomal RNA (405 nucleotides) under uncultured bacterium. RNAcentral's name for it is "partial 16S ribosomal RNA". It matches the Rfam family "Bacterial small subunit ribosomal RNA", at positions 28 to 526 of the family's 1533-position model. The record is from RNAcentral.
GACGAACGCUGGCGGCGUGCUUAACACAUGCAAGUCGAGCGGCGCGGUGGAAGGGUGGGUAACGCGUGAGUAACUGCCCCCCUCUCUGGGAUAACAGUUGGAAACGGCUGCUAAUACCGGCUAGUGGGGGAUGCCUCGGGGCCUAUUAGCUUGUUGGUGGGGUAGUGGCCUACCAAGGCGACGACGGGUAGCCGGCCUGAGAGGGCGACCGGCCACAUUGGGCUGAGAUACGGCCCAAGCUCCAACGGGAGGCAGCGGGGGGGAGUAUUGCACAGUAGGGGAAAGUCUGAUGCAGCAGCGCCGGGUGCGGAAUGCCGGCCUUCGGGUUGUAAACCGCUUUCAGCCAUGACGCGGUAGUGGCAGAAGAAGCACCGGCUAACUACGUGCCAGCAGCCGCGGUAAUUC